AUGGCCGUGAGCAAGCAAUGGACGCGGAUGCGCACGCUCGGCCGCGGCGCGUCGGGGGCCGAGGUGUUCCUCGCCGCGGACGACGCCUCCGGGGACCUCUUCGCGGUCAAGUCGGCGAGCGCGGCUUGCGCGGCGGCGCUGAGGAGGGAGCAGCGGGCGAUGGCCGGGCUGAGCUCCCCGCGCGUCCUCUCCUGCAUCGGCGGCCGCGGCGCCCGCGACGGCUCCUACCAACUCUUCCUCGAGUUCGCCCCCGGCGGCUCGCUGGCGGAGCAGGUGCCGAGCAGCGGGAGCCUCGACGAGCGCGCCGUCCGCGGCUACGCGGCCGAUGUGGCAGCCGCACUUGCGUACCUCCACGGCGCUGGGGUGGUGCACGGGGACGUCAAGGCGAGGAACGUGGUGAUCGGCGCCGACGGCCGCGCCAAGCUCGCGGAUUUCGGGUGCGCCAGGGAGGCGGGCGCUGAUGUGCCGAUCAUCGGCGGCACGCCGGCGUUCAUGGCGCCGGAGGUGGCGCGCGGCGAGGAGCAGGGCCCCGCGGCUGAUAUAUGGGCGCUUGGCUGCAUGGUUGUUGAGAUGGCCACCGGCCGCGCCCCGUGGAGCGGCAUGGACGGCGACGCGCUGGCGGCGCUGCACCGGAUUGGGUACACGGAGGCCGUUCCCGAGCUGCCCCAGUGGCUGUCCGCGGAGGCCAAGGACUUCUUGGCCAGGUGUCUUGUCAGGCAGGCCAACGAUCGGUUCACGGCGGCGCAGCUGCUGGAGCAUCCGUUCUUGGCCGCCGCCGUCGUCGACGCGAAGCCAGAAGCCGUGAAGAGCAGGUGGGUGUCGCCCAAGAGCACGCUGGACGCGGCAUUCUGGGAGUCGGAGUCUGACACCGACGAAGCGGACGACGAGCCGUCGCACGGCGCGGCCGAGAGCAGGAUCAGAGCAUUGUCCUGCCCUGCGUCGGCGCUCCCGGACUGGGACUCGGACGAGGGCUGGAUCGACGUGCUCUCCGGGCCAACGGAAGCACCUGUCGCCGCGCUGGCCAAGGUGACGACUGCCAUCAUCGUGGUCGACGCGAUCACGGGCGAAGAGGAGUCAACCGACGCAGAGUCCGGCGCCCUCGACAUUACCGUGGACGUGGAGCACGGUAGCGUGCUCAACGCAGGACAAGAGGCGCACGAUGAUGAGGAUGGUUCAGUAGUAGGGCACAGUAGGCACCAGCCUUUGGAUAUUCUAGCAUCUCGCCAAUUAAUCUCAUGUAAAUUGUUACCUGUACUGUUAUGUUGCGACAGAAUCAGUAAUGCAAUCGGUUUCGUUCAUGGCAAACCACUCUGCUUCGCAAGCGCUGCUCCUCUGUUUCUCUGCUCAUACUCGUGCUCCCCAUUGCAACACGAUUGA
Molecule: ribosomal RNA, 1377 nt
Filed under: Triticum aestivum (bread wheat)
Lineage: Eukaryota; Viridiplantae; Streptophyta; Magnoliopsida; Poales; Poaceae
Description: partial small subunit ribosomal RNA
Source: RNAcentral